This 820-nucleotide ribosomal RNA is filed under the name Geotrichum candidum. RNAcentral describes it as "SSU rRNA". It matches the Rfam family "Eukaryotic small subunit ribosomal RNA", at positions 589 to 1469 of the family's 1831-position model. The record is from RNAcentral. Lineage: Eukaryota; Fungi; Ascomycota; Dipodascomycetes; Dipodascales; Dipodascaceae.
AGUUGAUAGUAUAUAUAAAGUUGUUGCAGUUAAAAAGCUCGUAGUUGAAACUUGGGUGCGUAGGGGCGGUCUCUUUUAGAGUACUACCCUGAAACAUCUUUCUUUGGUGUAAACUYUCUAUUYAYUUARGRAGUGUAAACCAAACAUUUACUUUGAAAAAAUUAGAGUGUUCAAAGCAGGCCUUUGCUCGAAUAUAUUAGCAUGGAAUAAUAGAAUAGGACGUAUGGUUCUAUUUUGUUGGUUUCUAGGACCGUCGUAAUGAUUAAUAGGGACGGUCGGGGGCAUCAGUAUUCAGUUGUCAGAGGUGAAAUUCUUGGAUUUACUGAAGACUAACUACUGCGAAAGCAUUUGCCAAGGACGUUUUCAUUAAUCAAGAACGAAAGUUAGGGGAUCGAAGACGAUCAGAUACCGUCGUAGUCUUAACCGUAAACUAUGCCGACUAGGGAUCGGAGGGCGUUAUAAUAACCUCUCCGGCACCUUACGAGAAAUCAAAGUUUUUGGGUUCUGGGGGGAGUAUGGUUGCAAGGCUGAAACUUAAAGGAAUUGACGGAAGGGCACCACCAGGAGUGGAGCCUGCGGCUUAAUUUGACUCAACACGGGGAAACUCACCAGGUCCAGACACAAUAAGGAUUGACAGAUUGAGAGCUCUUUCAUGAUUUUGUGGGUGGUGGUGCAUGGCCGUUCUUAGUUGGUGGAGUGAUUUGUCUGCUUAAUUGCGAUAACGAACGAGACCUUAACCUGCUAAAUAGCUGUAACAAUAGAUUAUUGUUUUGACAGCUUCUUAGAGGGACUAUCGAUUUUCAAGUCGAUGGAAUAAAGG